Long non-coding RNA from Pantherophis guttatus, 421 nucleotides. RefSeq lists it as uncharacterized. The record is from RefSeq and is a predicted model, not a curated record. NCBI's taxonomy places the organism in Eukaryota, Metazoa, Chordata, Lepidosauria, Squamata, Colubridae.
AAGAAGUAGCUUAAGAAAUGGAAUCUGGUAGCACCACAUGAGAGACACGUCUCAGUUUUUGUGGUUCUACCACUCCUUCUCCUACAAACAUUUAAGUCGGGUUGCACAUUAGAAGGAGACCUCUUUGAGCAUCUGCAGAAGGGGUGUGUUUUUUUCUGCAGGGGGCAAUGCCUGUCAGCUUUGGAAGCCAUAUUAGGCCGGAAGCUUCCAUGCUGCCACCUUCUCAUGUGUGGGAAAGUAGGAGUGGGGGAUUUAGAAGAGGGGUUGUCUGUAGACAUAAUAGCAUUCUUCCUGUCGGUCAAGGUCAGGGCAAUCCUGCAUCUGGAGAAGGAGUGGUUGGAAUGAUGUCUCGAGAUGGGACGGUGGUUGAUUGGAGCAUGUGAUCGUCUGAGGACUGAAGGGAUGGUUUUGGGGUUUUUGA